Molecule: ribosomal RNA, 240 nt
Filed under: uncultured bacterium
Lineage: Bacteria
Description: partial 16S ribosomal RNA
Rfam family: Bacterial small subunit ribosomal RNA
Source: RNAcentral
CCGGCGCACGGGUGAGUAACGCGUAUGCAACUUACCUAUCAGAGGGGGAUAACCCGGCGAAAGUCGGACUAAUACCGCAUGAAGCAGGGGCCCCGCAUGGGGAUAUUUGCUAAAGAUUCAUCGCUGAUAGAUAGGCAUGCGUUCCAUUAGGCAGUUGGCGGGGUAACGGCCCACCAAACCGACGAUGGAUAGGGGUUCUGAGAGGAAGGUCCCCCACAUUGGAACUGAGACACGGUCCAA